This 257-nucleotide ribosomal RNA is filed under the name uncultured bacterium. Its description in RNAcentral is "partial 16S ribosomal RNA". It matches the Rfam family "Bacterial small subunit ribosomal RNA", at positions 524 to 776 of the family's 1533-position model. The record is from RNAcentral.
UACGUAGGGUGCAAGCGUUAAUCGGAAUUACUGGGCGUAAAGCGUGCGCAGGCGGCUUUGCAAGACAGAUGUGAAAUCCCCGGGCUCAACCUGGGAACUGCAUUUGUGACUGCAUGGCUAGAGUACGGUAGAGGGGGGAUGGAAUUCCGCGUGUAGCAGCGAAAUGCGUAGAUAUGCGGAGGAACACCGAUGGCGAAGGCAAUCCCCCUGGACCUGUACUGACGCUCAUGCACGAAAAGCGUGGGGGAGCAAACAGG